UACGUAGGGUGCAAGCGUUGUCCGGAAUUAUUGGGCGUAAGGGGCUCGUAGGCGGUCUGUCACGUCGGGAGUGAAAACUCAGGGCUUAACCCUGAGCCUGCUUCCGAUACGGGCAGACUAGAGGUAUGCAGGGGAGAACGGAAUUCCUGGUGUAGCGGUGAAAUGCGCAGAUAUCAGGAGGAACACCGAUGGCGAAGGCAGCUCGCUGGGACGUGACUGACGCUGAGACGCGAAAGCGUGGGGAGCAAACAGG
This 253-nucleotide ribosomal RNA is filed under the name uncultured bacterium. RNAcentral describes it as "partial 16S ribosomal RNA". It matches the Rfam family "Bacterial small subunit ribosomal RNA", at positions 524 to 776 of the family's 1533-position model. The record is from RNAcentral.